CGACUGGGUUCAGUGGUAGAAUGCUCGCCUGCCAUGCGGACGGCCCGAGUUCGAUACUCGGCCGAUGA
Molecule: non-coding RNA, 68 nt
Organism: Teladorsagia circumcincta
Lineage: Eukaryota; Metazoa; Nematoda; Chromadorea; Rhabditida; Trichostrongylidae
Source: the annotation of a GenBank genome assembly